GACGAACCGUGCGAACGUUGUUCGGAAUCACUGGGCUUAAAGGGCGCGUAGGCGGGCGGUCAAGUCCGGGGUGAAAGCCCCCAGCUCAACUGGGGAAGUGCCUCGGAUACUGACGGCCUCGAGGGAGGUAGGGGCGUGCGGAACUUCCGGUGGAGCGGUGAAAUGCGUAGAUAUCCUGAGGAACACCGGUGGCGAAGGCGAGUCCCUGGACAACACCUGACACUGAGGCACGAAAGCUAGGGGAGCAAACAGG
RNAcentral lists this ribosomal RNA (253 nucleotides) under uncultured bacterium. Its description in RNAcentral is "partial 16S ribosomal RNA". It matches the Rfam family "Bacterial small subunit ribosomal RNA", at positions 524 to 776 of the family's 1533-position model. The record is from RNAcentral.